Molecule: transfer RNA, 74 nt
Filed under: Patescibacteria group bacterium
Lineage: Bacteria
Description: tRNA-Ala
Rfam family: tRNA
About the family: Transfer RNA (tRNA) molecules are approximately 80 nucleotides in length.
Source: RNAcentral
GGGCCUGUAGCUCAGUUGGCUAGAGCACCUGCAUGGCAUGCAGGGGGUCAGGGGUUCAAGUCCCCUCAGGUCCA